GGAUGUGAGGGCCAUCUGGCUGUGACAUCUGUCACCCCAUUGAUCACCGGGGUUGAUUCGGCUGAUCUGGCUGGCUAGGCGGGUGUCCCCCUCUUCCCUCACUGAUCCAUGUGCGUCCAUCCCGAAGCUGUGUGCUGGGUCAAAGAGGACGACCUUCCCCCCCGAGGAGAGGACCGGUCUUCGGUCAAGGGUAUAGGAGUAGCUGCGCUCCCCUGCUAGAACCUCCAAACAAGCUCUCAAGAAUCAAAGCCCUGACAUAAAAGUAAAAAAUUUCAGGCAUAUCUUCCAAAGUAAAAGA
Molecule: small nuclear RNA, 298 nt
Filed under: Myotis davidii
Lineage: Eukaryota; Metazoa; Chordata; Mammalia; Chiroptera; Vespertilionidae
Description: 7SK RNA
Rfam family: 7SK RNA
About the family: 7SK was discovered as an abundant small nuclear RNA in the mid-70s but a possible function has only recently been suggested.
Source: Rfam by way of RNAcentral